UGGGGAAUAUUGGACAAUGGGCGCAAGCCUGAUCCAGCCAUGCCGCGUGAGUGAUGAAGGCCCUAGGGUUGUAAAGCUCUUUUGUGCGGGAAGAUAAUGACGGUACCGCAAGAAUAAGCCCCGGCUAACUUCGUGCCAGCAGCCGCGGUAAUACGAAGGGGGCUAGCGUUGCUCGGAAUCACUGGGCGUAAAGGGUGCGUAGGCGGGUCUUUAAGUCAGGGGUGAAAUCCUGGAGCUCAACUCCAGAACUGCCUUUGAUACUGAAGAUCUUGAGUUCGGGAGAGGUGAGUGGAACUGCGAGUGUAGAGGUGAAAUGCGUAGAUAUCCGUAGGAACAUCCGAGGCGAAGGCGGCUCGCUGGAUCACAACUGACGCUGAGGGACGAAAGCUAGGGGAGUAGACAGGAUUAGAUACCCUGGUAGUCCUAGCCCUAAACCAUCAGGACUUGGGGUUUGCCCUGUACGGGGCAAGUCCCGUAGCUAACGCGUUAAGUCCUGCGCCUGGGGAGUACGGUCGCAAGGCUG
This 523-nucleotide ribosomal RNA is filed under the name uncultured bacterium. Its description in RNAcentral is "bacterial SSU rRNA". It matches the Rfam family "Bacterial small subunit ribosomal RNA", at positions 355 to 896 of the family's 1533-position model. The record is from RNAcentral.